Molecule: ribosomal RNA, 1396 nt
Filed under: Trichinella murrelli
Lineage: Eukaryota; Metazoa; Nematoda; Enoplea; Trichinellida; Trichinellidae
Description: SSU rRNA
Rfam family: Eukaryotic small subunit ribosomal RNA
Source: RNAcentral
CCUGGUUGAUCCUGCCAGUAGUCAUAUGCUUGUCUCAAAGAUUAAGCCAUGCAUGUGUAAGCACACACUGUUUUAAAAGUGAAGCCGCGAAUGGCUCAUUACAACAGCCACAGUUUAUUAGAACUUACAAUCAUGGAUAACUGUGGUAAUUCUAGAGCUAAUACACGCACAAAAACUUCAACUGAAUUGGUUGAAGUGCUUUUAUUAGAACAAAAACCGAACGGCGUUUGGCGAAUGUUGAACGUCGAAACUGUUUGGUGAAUCUGAAUAACUAUUUCUGAUCGCAUGGUCUAGCACCGGCGACAUCACUUUCAAGUGUCUGCCUUAUCAACCUUCGAUGGUAGUCUAUGCGACUACCAUGGUGAUAACGGGUAACGGAGAAUCAGGGUUCGACUCCGGAGAGGGAGCCUGAGAAACGGCUACCACAUCCAAGGAAGGCAGCAGGCGCGCAAAUUACCCACUCCCAGCUUGGGGAGGUAGUGACGAAAAAUAACGAGACGAUUCUCGUUUGAGAAACGUUAUCGAAAUGAGUACGCUUUACACACGCUAACGAGUAGCAAUUGGAGGGCAAGUCUGGUGCCAGCAGCCGCGGUAAUUCCAGCUCCAAUAGCGUAUAUUAAAGUUGCUGCGGUUAAAACGCUCGUAGUUGAAUUGUGGUCUUAGACAACAGUCCCCCUACAUAGGUGUGGCACGGUUGCUCGAGAUCUUCAUUCGUGGUUGCUGUUGUUGCUCUUCAUUGAGUGUCAAUGGUGCCUCGAGAUUUUACUUUGAAAAAAUUAGAGUGCUCAAAGCAGGUUGUGAUGCCUGAAUAAUGGUGCAUGGAAUAAUAGAAUACGAUCUCGGUUCUAUUUUGUUGGUUUUCGAACCGGAGAUAAUGAUUGAAAGGAACAGACGGGGCAUUCGUAUUGCUGCGUUAGAGGUGAAAUUCUUGGAUCGCAGCAAGAUGAACAAUUGCGAAAGCAUUUGCCAAGAAUGUUUUCAUUAAUCAAGAACGAAAGUUAGAGGUUCGAAGGCGAUCAGAUACCGCCCUAGUUCUAACGGUAAACUAUGCCAACCAGCGAUUCGCCGAAGUUCAUUUAAGACUCGGCGAGCAGCUUCCGGAAACCAAAGUGUUUCGGUUCCGGGGGAAGUAUGGUUGCAAAGCUGAAACUUAAAGGAAUUGACGGAAGGGCACCACCAGGAGUGGAGCCUGCGGCUUAAUUUGACUCAACACGGGAAACUCACCCGGCCCCGGACACUGGAAGGAUGACAGAUUGACAGCUCUUUCUUGAUUCAGUGGGUAGUGGUGCAUGGCCGUUCUUAGUUGGUGGAGCGAUUUGUCUGGUUAAUUCCGAUAACGAACGAGACUCUACCCUAUUAAAUAGUGACAGUAUUGUAUUUUUUGUGCUGAUCACUU